This 202-nucleotide long non-coding RNA is filed under the name Rosa chinensis. Its description in RNAcentral is "sRNA RchiOBHm_Chr6g0251501". Lineage: Eukaryota; Viridiplantae; Streptophyta; Magnoliopsida; Rosales; Rosaceae. The record is from RNAcentral.
UAUGAUGGACUUCGAUAACCUUCUCGAUUUCAAGAACGACGACCCACUCCUCAACCCUCUGCUAAGAAAAGGAAAUUGGAUGAUAUUUUGACUGAUGUGAACUGGAGAAGGUGAGGUCUUGGUUGCCAAGUGGGAAGGUUAAGCCUGUGCGGUUGAAUGAUGUGAACUGGGGGAUUAGUUGGAAAGAUCGGCGAAUUCCAUU